Molecule: ribosomal RNA, 494 nt
Filed under: uncultured bacterium
Lineage: Bacteria
Description: partial 16S ribosomal RNA
Rfam family: Bacterial small subunit ribosomal RNA
Source: RNAcentral
GACGAACGCUGGCGGCGUGCUUAACACAUGCAAGUCGAACGGUGAAGCGCCUUCCUUGUUGGUGGGUGUGUAGGAGUGGCGAACGGGUUAGUAACACGUUAGUAACCUUCCCCCUUCUUCUGGAUAACCGCAUGAAAGUGUGGCUAAUACGGGAUAUUCUGGGUCUGUCGCAUGAUUGGUCUGGGAAAGAUAUUGUUUCGGUGGGGGAUGGGCUCGCGGCCUAUCAGCUUGUUGGUGGGGUGAUGGCCUACCAAGGCGGUGACGGGUAGCCGGCCUGAGAGGGUGGACGGUCACACUGGGACUGAGACACGGCCCAGACUACUACGGGAGGCAGCAGUGGGGAAUAUUGCACAAUGGGCGCAAGCAUGAUGCAGCGACGCCGCGUGAGGGAUGGAGGCCUUCGGGUUGUGAACCUCUUUCGCCAGUGAAGCAGGCCUGCCUCGUUUGUGGGUGGGUUGACGGUAGCUGGAUAAGAAGCGACGGCUAACUACGUG